This 432-nucleotide ribosomal RNA is filed under the name uncultured bacterium. RNAcentral's name for it is "partial 16S ribosomal RNA". It matches the Rfam family "Bacterial small subunit ribosomal RNA", at positions 29 to 507 of the family's 1533-position model. The record is from RNAcentral.
ACGAACGCUGGCGGCAUGCCUAACACAUGCAAGUCGAACGAGACCUUCGGGUCUAGUGGCGCACGGGUGCGUCACGCGUGGGAACCUGCCUUUAGGUUCGGAAUAACUCAGAGAAAUUUGAGCUAAUACCGGAUGAUGUCUUCGGACCAAAGAUUUAUCGCCUUUAGAUGGGCCCGCGUUGGAUUAGCUAGUUGGUGGGGUAAAGGCCUACCAAGGCGACGAUCCAUAGCUGGUCUGAGAGGAUGAUCAGCCACACUGGGACUGAGACACGGCCCAGACUCCUACGGGAGGCAGCAGUGGGGAAUAUUGGACGAUGGGCGAAAGCCUGAUCCAGCAAUGCCGCGUGAGUGAUGAAGGCCUUAGGGUUGUAAAGCUCUUUUACCCGAGAUGAUAAUGACAGUAUCGGGAGAAUAAGCUCCGGCUAACUCCGUG